UCUUCCAUGGCGUCGUCGGGGCCUUCCCCUGCCAAGCGUAGCGGCUCCUUGGCUGGAUCACCGUCGCACACCUCACCGGCGUGGUCGGCAAGAUCUGCAUCUCGAUCCUCGCCACUCUCCAUCCUCUUGCAGGUUUAUAAAUUUCGAAAUAUAGUUGCAGCUUCACGGAAUGGACGGCCCAAAUUAUGUUAGUGUCUAUAUGUUUACUUGGUGGUGGUCUAGCGUGAGUGACACCUGCAUCUGUAACUUACCCAUUGGAUGUUCUUCGAAAUCACCUGACAACACAGAAAACCACUAGGUAUUACAAGGGCAUCUUUCACACGUUGUCUACAAUUUGUAGAGAAGAGAAUAGUAGAGGAUUGUAUAAAGGCCUUUGGUCCACCUUAUUGGGAGUUGGACCUGAUAUAUCAAUCAACGUUUAUGUAUAUGAAUCCUUGAGGUCUCAUUGGAAAAUGGAAAGUUGAAUGUCAAACUGUGCGACCAAUGAUUUGAUAUGGUACCUCCCUCUUCUCUCUUCUAUGAACCCUAUAACACACGUCUCAAAUCUUAAUUUCUUUUAUCCUAUUGCAGGUUAAUUCCAGUUGGGUGUGUUAACCUACAGUAAUCAAUCAAGUCAACAAAUAUAACAAUGAUACUUUGUCUUCUGAUUUUUGGUGAUGAUUUUUUUUGUGACUGAACUAACAGGAGUUGAAGCAUGUGUUCUUAUUUUUUUA
Long non-coding RNA from Triticum aestivum (bread wheat), 713 nucleotides. RefSeq lists it as uncharacterized. The record is from RefSeq and is a predicted model, not a curated record. Lineage: Eukaryota; Viridiplantae; Streptophyta; Magnoliopsida; Poales; Poaceae. The transcript is spliced from 4 exons.